GAAAGAUUCAUCCUUCUCGUAUCAUUACCAAUCAGUGGUUCUUUGGUAAUUGCGUUCCUGCACACGUCCUUUUUCCUCAUGAAGAUUCUUGCCGUUGUCCUACUUCGGUUCUUGCAAAGAGCCUGACAUACGGCAAAAAACUGAAGUUGAUAGAUUUACGCCCUGUAUUCUUCUUCGUGGAAACCUGUUUCAGUGCGCAACUUGUUCCCAUACCCUCAAGCAAGCGUGUACCCGCCACCGAGCUCACAUGGCUACCAGACCCACCUUGGUGAAGAGAGCCCUUCCUAUAACUGGCCAGGGCAAGCGGCUCCAUCUGAUCGUGGACCUCACUUGUACAGCUACCAAGACGAUCCUGACUGCCUCACCUUCCUGAGAGGAUGCUUGGCUGGGCUGUGCUGCUGCUGCUUGUUGGAGCAGUGUUGCUACUACUGACUGCUACUACGAUACCUGCUGAGACGUGUGUCUACUCUACCCUUCUCCCCUUGGGUGAUUCCUGGCUACUCAAGUUGAACAGCUUUGCUUGUGCGUGAGUAUGAUCUCAUCUGUACUGUACUAUGUAACUCUAGACAUGCGUGAAAUAAUGAAGCUGCCAGCCGGUUCUUUC
This is a non-coding RNA of Aegilops tauschii subsp. strangulata, 604 nucleotides long. NCBI's taxonomy places the organism in Eukaryota, Viridiplantae, Streptophyta, Magnoliopsida, Poales, Poaceae. The record is from RefSeq and is a predicted model, not a curated record.